RNAcentral lists this ribosomal RNA (253 nucleotides) under uncultured bacterium. RNAcentral's name for it is "partial 16S ribosomal RNA". It matches the Rfam family "Bacterial small subunit ribosomal RNA", at positions 524 to 776 of the family's 1533-position model. The record is from RNAcentral.
UCCGGGGGGGGCAAGCGUUGUUCGGAAUUACUGGGCGUAAAGGGCUCGUAGGCGGCCAACUAAGUCAGACGUGAAAUCCCUCGGCUUAACCGGGGAACUGCGUCUGAUACUGGAUGGCUUGAGUUUGGGAGAGGGAUGCGGAAUUCCAGGUGUAGCGGUGAAAUGCGUAGAUAUCUGGAGGAACACCGGUGGCGAAGGCGGCAUCCUGGACCAACACUGACGCUGAGGAGCGAAAGCCAGGGGAGCAAACGGG